UUUUAUUUCUUUUUACUUUUUAGGGCCACACCAGCAGCAUAUGAAAGUUCCCAAGCUAGGGGUUGAAUCGGAGCUAUAGCUGCUGGCCUAUGCCACAGCCACAGCAAUGCGGGAUCCAAGUCAUGUCGGCAACCUAUACCACAGCCCAGGGCAAUGGCAUGUCUUUAACCCACUGAGCAAGGCCAGCCUCCUCAUGGAUCCUAGUCGGGUUCGUUAACUGCUGAGUCACAAAGGGAACUCCAGAUUUCUCAUUUUCUAUGCUAAAUCUAGGAGCUGUUAGUUUAGUAGCAUUGCACAACACACUGAUGGAAAAUGUCACCUGACUCCUUUAUCUGUUAAACAAAUAUUAAGAAUAGCUAUUUGGCCAAACUUUGCUAUUGUUCCUCAUCUAUCACACUACAGUAUUACUUAUCAAUGGAAAAGCAUGUUCCCAGCAUGUCACAGCAGGACUUUAAAAGCUUAGUAGACCUUCUAAAAGCAACACAGCUGACCUCUUCCUUAACACUCAGAUAUUUGAUCUGUAAAUUAUUUAGCUUGCAUCAUUUCUUUUUCCCAAAGCUUAAAUAGUAAAGCAGCCAUUUUUAUUUCCUUUCAUAUUUCCCCAAAUGACUAGAAAGUAUCACUCUUCAGAAACACAGGCCACAUUUAUAUUUUCGAUAAAUGGAUUAAAAGAAUAGGUUUCCUGGGCCCACUUGAAGUACCGUCCUCCCACACAAGGUACGCAAAUGCCAAAGGAAAAUUGUUAGAAUAUCGGAGUUGCCUUGUGGCACAACAGGUUAAGGAUCCAGCAUUGUCACUGCAGCAGUUUGGGUUGCAGCUGCAGCAUGGGAUGGGUUCAGUCCCUGGACCCAGAACUUCCACAUGCUGCAGGCACGGCCAAAAAAAGAAAAAAGAAAAGAAAGAAAAUUGUUAGAAUAUAAAUAACUUAUGAUUUUUAGAUAAUAAAACUCUUCCUUGGACUAGUAUCAAUUUGUGCUGCUCAAUUCUGUUCUCAAUCUGACAUGUGAUGCUCAAUUACAUUAUUAACUUCUAAUUGGGGUGCUUUCUUAUGUUUCUGUUCCAAAAAUCUGCUGCAUGAAUAAACAAAUAGUCUUGUCAUAUUUAGAUGACAAGCAUUUCAAGGGCAAGUAUUCCAAGAUGGCAGCAUUUCUUCUAAUUCUUUUGUAUUCUACACACGCUUCUGAAUGCAUGCAUUCAUCCUUAUGUCCCUCCAACCACUCAGCAGAUCUCUUCAGAGAAAGUUUUAGGCUCUAAAAACAGUACUAGGGUCACCUGGGGAGAAAAAAACUGAAAGAUAUAUGUCCAGUUUGAACUCAAUCAAAAUGAAGAGGUGCUGACCCAAUAUGAAGAGAAAAAAAAAUACAGCAGAAUGUUGACAGUGGUUGUCUUAAUUAAGGUGAUACAAUUCCUUCACUGAUUUUUCUAUAUUUUCAAUAAGAAUAUGUGUGUAUUUUAUAUCAGAGAAAAGCUAUUUUAAACAAAAUCUAAUCGUUAAGUUGAAAGAACAAAGUCAAACUUACAAAACAAAGAGGCAGAUAGAAACAUAGUGAACAGGCACUCAGAUAGUACUAAAAGGUUUGAAUUUGAGUUGGGACUUUGCCCCUUGCUGU
This 1610-nucleotide long non-coding RNA is filed under the name Sus scrofa (pig). RNAcentral's name for it is "lncRNA (multiple genes)". The record is from RNAcentral. Lineage: Eukaryota; Metazoa; Chordata; Mammalia; Artiodactyla; Suidae.